This 569-nucleotide ribosomal RNA is filed under the name uncultured bacterium. Its description in RNAcentral is "bacterial SSU rRNA". It matches the Rfam family "Bacterial small subunit ribosomal RNA", at positions 55 to 617 of the family's 1533-position model. The record is from RNAcentral.
AUGCAAGUCGAGGGGUAACGGAAGUAGCUUGCUACUAGACGACGACCGGCGCACGGGUGAGUAACGCGUAUGUAAUCUGCCUUGUACAGAGGGAUAGCCCAGAGAAAUUUGGAUUAAUACCUCAUAGUAUUACUGAAUCGCAUGAUUCGGUAAUUAAAGCUCCGGCGGUACAAGAUGAACAUGCGUGACAUUAGCUAGUUGGUAAGGUAACGGCUUACCAAGGCCACGAUGUCUAGGGGUUCUGAGAGGAUGAUCCCCCACACUGGUACUGAGACACGGACCAGACUCCUACGGGAGGCAGCAGUGAGGAAUAUUGGUCAAUGGACGCAAGUCUGAACCAGCCAUCCCGCGUGAAGGAUGACUGCCCUAUGGGUUGUAAACUUCUUUUAUAUGCAAAUAAACCUACUUUCGUGAAAGUAGCUGAAGGUAGCAUAUGAAUAAACACCGGCUAACUCCGUGCCAGCAGCCGCGGUAAUACGGAGGGUGUAAGCGUUAUCCGGAUUUAUUGGGUUUAAAGGGUACGUAGGCGGUAAUAUAAGUCAGUGGUGAAAUCCUGCAGCUCAACUGUA